GUAUUAUUAAGGUAUUUGCUCGUGUGUUUGUGUAUCUGCAUAGUACUGUAUGGGAACUGCUGAGUCAUGGUCUGAACCACUAAUUGAGUGCCUGGAGACAAGACCAGGUCAGCCCUGGAAGCGCAGGUGAAGGUAGUUCACAUCUUAGACCUCAUUUAAGGGCUGACUGACACUGAGAAAGGGUCUUUUGCUGGAGAUCCCUCUUCUGUGGAGUUUUUUCUGCAAGCCUAGAUCUUCAGAAAUGGUAUUGUGUUACUGUUGAUGUACCUCAAUGAAACGGAGAGAAAAUUCAAGAAAUAUGAAUUGAUUGUAUGAAGCAACAUAUGCAAAUACUGAAAAUAAAAGCUGCCAACAUUGUGACAGGAAUGGCAUUAGCAGAUGAGUCAGGAGUGUGAUGAAGCCAUAUGGCCUUGUGAUUAUGUUGAAACUAAGGAUAGCUACUCAAGGGAUUACAUGCUCUUCUACUUCUGAGAAUGAAGAAUGUGCACUGUGAGCACUUUAGUGUCCUGGUCAGCUACAUCACCCUUUGCAGCAUCUGUGAAAAUCAAGGAAAGGUUCAAUACUUUCCUCAUGAGGAUAAAUCAUGUAAGAACCAGAAAGAGCACAGGUAAACAGGAUUGAACAGAGACUUUUCUCUGUUUCCAUACCAAUUUCCUAGCACUGAUGAUAUAUUAAUAUAAGAUAAUAUUUCUUUAUCCACAGCAGGUUGAUUGAAUGUGAAAAGUGCAUAUUGGUAAGCAUUGAGAAUAGAAGAUAAAUGCAAUUGAGUUAUAACAUAGGAACAGUCUCACUAGAGAACACAGUAAGAUUAAAUGCUAGAGGAUGUCCAAAAACUAAUCAUGUCCUCUUCCACAGUAGAAAUGCCUAUAACACCAUGCUGAGAUGGUAGUAGCUCAAGUGAGUGCCAUCUGACAACAGUUUAAAAGGUAUUUCUUUGGCUUUCAUCUGACUAAACUUAUCUCAUGAAAAGUCUGUGUUCUGACAAGAACUCAGCAUUGUUAAGAAGGAACCUGGAGAAAAAUCAGAUCACAGAAUCAUAGAAUCAUCGUCUAGUUUAACUGUCCACCUACCACCAAUAUUUCUCCAUUAAACCAUGUCCCUUCGUACAACAUCUAAACAUUUCCUGAACACCUCCAGGGCUGGUGACUCAACCACCUCCCUGGGGAGCCCCUUCCAGUGCCUGACCACUCUUUUGGAGAAUAAUAUUUUCCUAAUAUCCAGCCUGAACCUCCCCGGCAAAACUUGAGGCCAUUCCCUCUAGCACCAUUACUAGUUAUGCUGGAGAAAAGGUUGGCCCCCACCUCACCACAACUUCCUUUCAGGUAGCUGUAGAGCUAUAAGAUCUUCCCUGAACCUCCUCUUCUCCAGACUAAACAAUACACGUUCCCUUAGCCAUUCCUUGUAAGAUUUGUGCUCUAGCCCCCCCCAUGGCCUUUGUUGCCCUUCUCUGGACAAGUUCCAGGGCCUCACUGUCUUUCUGUUAGUGAGGGGUACAAAACUGAACACAGUACUCAAGGUGCUGCUUCACUAGAGCUGAGUACAGACGAACAAUCGCUUUCCUACUCCUACUGGCAACGCUAUUUCUGAUACAAGACAGGAUGCCAUUGACCUCACUGUCCACCUGGGCUCAUGUUCAGCCAAGUGUUGACCAACGCCUCCAGGUAAUUUCUUCCACAUAUUCUUCCAGCUAUCCCAUAUAGACUACUGUCAAGAAUUUCUGACACAUGUUUUUUCUGUAUUUAUUUUGCUUUUUUGUUAGUUUGACCUGCUGCCAUGUUGGCCUGCCAUUUUCUAUAGUGAAUACACAUUGAUUUGGCCUGUUACCAUAUAAAACUGAGCACAUCAGAAGAUGUUUUCUUUAGCCUCUAAUUUGUCUCAGUUGCAGAAAUGCAAGUGCUAGACCUAUAGUGGUAAUCCUCCUCCCACAUCACAGUCAGAUUUGAACCAGAAUGAUGAGUCUUUCCUCCCUGAAUCUGAGUCAUUGCCAUAUAGUCUCCCCACCUACAGAAUGAAGUGAAAAACUGUUUGGGUGAGGUCUAGACUUCUAUCAUAAUAUACGGAGUUUUCAAGUCCACAAUUUUCAAUUCUCUUUUGUAUCUGCAACUCAUCUUAGGUUUCAGCACCCUACUUAGGGAAGGCAGAAAUACAAGGCAGUAGGUUUACUGAGUCAGUGGUUUCCAUUAGUACUGUAUGCUUUGCUAUUUACUUGUGACGGUGGAGUAUGAAUGGGAAUUUGAACUAUUCCUUGAUUUCUCCAUCUUCUUGGUAAGCUGAAGGAAAGAACUAUGGAGAAGUUGUAGUAGUUAGAAUGAGUGACUGAAAUGCAGAACACUGAAAAAGGAAAUGUAAACACAAGUUUUGUGGUAUAAAAGAUACCUGUUUUCUGGUUUGUGUGCACUACAAUGCAUAGCACGGGCAUGGUUAGUUUAUUAGGAUCAAAUGAGGUCUAAAAUAUAUAUGGCUGAAGAAAUUUGUGCAUUCAGGGGAACAAAUGGAACUUUAGCUUUUGAUUUAAAUUAUAUUCAGAUUUGGCUGACUUUUGUAUGUUUAAGUUUUGAUUUUUCCUUUCUUUGGACAAAAUGUCUGUGUUGCUUUUUUUUAAGCCUGAUGAAUAUGGACAUCUUAUUCUCUUUUCUGCUUCAUAAGGAAUAAAGGAAAAACCCCAGAAGAAUCUUUUAUCCUUCGUUCCCUUACGGUACUGAGGAAAUAAUACUCUCCAAAUAUAAAUUUCCACUCCACCUUUCACUUUCAGGAUAUUUGGAAAUCCUGCUUUGAUGGCAAUUUAGUAAGCCCAAGCAUAGACUUUCAGUAGGAAGUCUUUGCUAAAAUCAUCUUAUCUCAUUGUCUGACACCAACAUGAGAUUCUUGAACAAAUAACUUAUUACAGAAUAAUAAUUAAAAAAAAAAAAAAACACAACCAAAGUGAUUCCAUUUGAUUCAACUCUAAGUGCCAAAUCUUUUUCUCCCAUGUUAGGAUCCUAAUCAACGGAAGUACUUAUCUACACUGAAAGCCAAGAGGUUGUCACAUGAAUGCAUUCACAUUCAUUUAUGUAUCAAGUGUAUUACUGUAUAAAAUUACCAGUCAGCACAGACUAGAGCUAUAAAGAAAAUCAGUGCUCAGAAGCAACCUGGGAAUUCAAGGUCCUCUCCUCCACAGCUUGAGCAGGGAGACCAGAUGUUUUCAGCCUCUGAUGUGAGUCAGGGGAAACUCAGCAGCCCACCCUUUCAACAAGGUGAGGUCUCUGCAGCGGGGCCUUGAGAGUGAAAAGGAAGAAUAUGGAAUAAUCUGCUGUGGAAAAAUGAGUGGGAGAAACUGCUUAAUACAAGGACAAGUAGGCCAGUGUUGUUGGAAGUCUUUCAGCGUGAGCCACUUGGCUGUGCCUGUUAAUGAAUAAAUAAAUUGCUACUUUUCUUUUUAAAGGAUGACUAACCAAACUGAGUAUCUGAAAACUACUUUAAAUUUAAACUUUAAUGAGUACUUUAAAAAUGUAUUUUUAUGAUACUAAAACUAAUAUAUACAUUUUUUAAGGAAAAAAAAAAAAAAGAUGAUGUUCUUUAUAUUUAUGCUGCCACUCAUGCUUUGACUCUGAUCACUUAUCUGGAUAAUUAAGCAGUAUCACUGAGGAACUGGAUACCAGAAAUCUGAUAUUAAUCCGUCCCUCUUAAUAGUAACGCAAAAGCCACUGGGGUGGAAAGCAGCCUAGUCUUCUUAAUCCCCUUUUACCAACAUUUCAGCAUCAGCAUAUCUCAUUUAUUUUAAAAAGUGGUUCAAGACACACUAUCAGUGGCUUAAGUCUAAUUUAGGCUUUAAAUCAAAAUAUAUUAAGAAAUUCAAAAAUAGUCAAGAUUACCAAGAUUUCUUGAGGGAAUGAUUCACAACCAGCUCAUGUCCCUUUGACAGGAACAGGGGACGACUGAAUGAUUUUUGCAUGUCUGCAUCGCUUGAAGGUACAACACUUUCUGUUGAAUUAAAAGGAAAAGGCAGGAUUACAGUGGAGACCUUGAGAUCCCACUGCCAUACUUAUCAGGUAUAUGUUGAUGAUACCUGAGCAACUUCUACAGACAAUUUCACCUGCAGGUACUGAAAAGUCCAAGGAUAUUCUUCUCUUUCCCUUGAAUGCAUAUGUCACUGUUCAUGUGAACCUUGUUGCCCACUUCAGUGCCUGCCAGAGUAUUUUUGUUUUUAAUUUCCACACUGUUCUUCAUCCCUUAUUAGUCAGUGAUGAUCCCAAACUCCCCUUUGCAUUUUGAGGUGUCCGGAUUUGGACUCAGCAUGCAUUUAGCUUGACACAAACCACAGCAGAAAUAGUGGUGGAUAACUGACAAAAUAGGAAAGAAGCACCCUUCUCUUCCUCCCUGAUGCGGGAUCCAGAGAAACUGAUGCACACCCAGACUGAAGACUAUACUCAGGUUGUUAUUAGGAGUGCAUGUUGCCAGCUCUAUGGCACGAGUCUGUGCUCAGAUCUUACCUUGCAAUGUGAAGUAUGUCUGAACUUCUGUGGUAACCUCCUCACCUCAGCUGCAGUCUCAAGUGGCUGGAUUUGGUGCAAGGCAUCUUGCUUUUUGAAUCCUACCAUCUAUGGGUGCCAGUGUUGCCUGUGAUACUUGUUUGACUGAAGCUUGAGCACUCUUUAUUAUCAUACCAUUGUAUUAGUUAUUGUCAACAUUCACUUGUGCAUACUGAACCUACCAUACUUUGGGCUUCAGGCAGAAAGAUUAAAACUAUUAUGACAAAAGUAACAGAAAUCAGAUUGUUUAGCCAUCUAAUUUACUCUCGAAUUGAGGCCUUCGAGUUGGAAAGACAUAAGAGUUCACAGACCUUAUUUAAUACUCAUAAAGUUUUCAAAGAGGGUAUAAUGCUGACAGAGGCCAUGUGAAGUUAUAGUAAGUAUGAGGCAUUUUACCUAGUUCUCAUGGCUUUUCCAUCAGAGACAGACAAACAUUAAAACCCAAGAACCUUUUGGAGACUGCUGUUUUCCCAUAUAUAUUUUUUUAAGUGUUAGAGCCACCAAGCACUGUAUAGAUAUGGGAACUAUCACUUAAUAAAAUAAUUAGCCUGCUAUUUCAAGUACAAGGAAUGGCAGCAUGUAGGCAGAAAAGUGAGGUGUUGCCUUUACCUUCCUCUUCAUUUUUACAUUUGUACAAAAACAGGAAAAUAUUUUUAAAGGAUAGGCCAGUAGUGCCACAGGAAUUGAAUUAGAUCAUCUUUAAUUAAUAUGUCAGAAUAUAAGAAAUGAUGAAAAUAUGUAUAAUUAAAUUCUUGAACUAAAAACAGUGUUGUAAAGUGUGACUAAAAUAGAACAGAACAGAGGGUUCUUUUGUUGUUGUUUCUUUUCUUUUCCCCUGUAUUUUUAUUUUAAUUUAAAAUUGUGGGUUCUGGUAUCUUUGCAUUGUAUUGUGAUUAGCUAUUAUAUGCUAGGCUAACGUGGGUAACCCCAAGAAUUACAAACUAUUUGUGAAGAUGAAUAGAAUUUUCCCAGUUCCAUGAGUACAGCGUUACUACCACUGUGUUAGUAGCGCUAGUAGCUUGGCACUGUGGUAACCCAUAUAAAUAACCACAAUCUGCCUGGGACAAAUGCUUGAAAGACCAAAUAUUUUACAUAACUUAAACAUCUAUUUUCAUCUAAAAGCUUCAAUUUUCAAAAUCAGUGAAUGAUUAUGACUUUUCCUGUUUUCCAGGACCCCAAAUCAGACACAAGCUGGUUUUAUUAUCUAAUUUUCAGUGUUUAUGGAAGAUGCAACUUAAUUUAAAAGGUCUGAAUGCCUCUUUUCUUUCCCUGUCGUUCAUGAGAACAAUCAAACAGAUCCUCACAGAUUUCAAGAACCAGAACCCAGCGUGAACACCAGAAUGAUAAGGGGAAACAUUCAGAUGCUUUCAAUGGCAAAAGAAAAUUCAUAAACUGCUUAUAAUGAAGAAGUGAUUGUUGAAAAUUGAGUUUUCUGUUCUUGUACUUUACUGGCAUUCAGCUCUUCAAAGCGAUAGCAAAUAUUCUAUUGGUUAACAUUUAACCCAAACUAAUAGGUCCAAUCUCACAUUCUCAAAUAAAUCAUAAUGUCUUUUCAAUUAGUUUGCACUUUCACUGGCUGCUGUCCUGAAUAAUUAGGAAAACAAUUCACAUUUCACUAGGAGAUGAUAUGAAGUGUUAUUCCUGUGAUAAUUAGCGAGCUGCAGUUCAGCUUCCCUGGCUCCCACCAGGUCAUCAGGGCACAAAAGAGGACACCAUGAGAGCAUUAAUGAGCUCUCAUUGAAGAUGUUAAAAAGCUUGUAUUGAUCUGUUUGUCCAAGAAGGAGAUAUUUAAGCCUUUCUGCUGAGGGCAGGAGAGACAGAGAUUCAUAUCACAAAGCCUUUUAUCCAACCCCUUCUGUUUCUGGCUUCAAUAUUGCCCAGUCUCAGCAUGUCUGGUUCUAGAGGUCAUACUUUUAAACUUUCACAACAUUUUUUUUCUUUUCCCCUUUCUUCUUUUUGUUUAAAAAAAAAAAAAAAAAAAAAAAAAGGAAAGAAAGAAAAAAGGGUAAUAUACAGUGUACACUUAACCUUUACUACAGGGAUCCCUUUACACAGCUCGCUGUUUCUGAGAACAGGCUUCAGUGCAGUAAGAUUUCCGUUCUCACUCUAUCCCGCUCACAUUCAUCUCAAUUAAAUUCAGAGAGUCUAGACAAUACAAGGACCAACUCAGUGCAAAUUUUUGCUCAUAGUUUGGAAGCACAUCCAACAAAAUCACUUUUUUUGGAUGUUCAAUCAGACUUUUCUCUCUAUUGUCACCGCCUUUUUUGUGAACUCCUGGACUUACUAUUUCUAGCUGGAAGUAGAAGUGAAAGAAGUAAGUGUAAGGCUGCAAAAUCACCAUUUCUUGUGGUAUUUUCACAUGAGGUUUCUCACUGCAGGAAAGGGAGGCAAAUCCUGUCCUGCCUUCAACACUCUGCAUUGUUAUGAUAUAUUGCAGCAGUAAACUUGUUCUGGGUACACUUACCUACUCACCAAUUUUGUCUACUCUCUUUUAAGUGCCACAAUGAGCUGUCAGUGAGGAUUCCCAGCCUGCCUGUGAUAGAGUUUGGGAUGAAUUUUCAUAUAACUGUAAAAGCUGUGGGUUUUUUGUUUUGUUUUGUUUUUGUUGUUGCUUUUUAAUUAUUAUCAUCCUUCUUACUUGAACUAGCUAUGGUCUCACUCAGCAAGAUCGUAUCUCUCUUUUCAUAGUAUCUCAUUCACAUUCAACUCUGUAGGAGCAAUUCAGCGGGUCCAUUUGUGUGUAUCCAUUGUAAAUGGCCAAUGAAGUAAUACUCUGGGACCUCUAGAUGAAUGCAGAAUCCUCAGUACACUUCUUUGUUUUUUCAUGGUCUGCCUCACCUGACACAGCAGGCUGGUGGAUGAACCUCACAACCAACAUUGGGAAUUCUGCAGCCUGCUUCUACUUACCUUGUAUCAACUCAAGAUUAUCAGUUUCAGAUGAAAAUAAACAUGAAUGAAUGCACACACAAAUUAUUCUUGCUGUGAUGUGAUGCAGUAAUCUCCAGUUUGGGAACUGAGCUGGCAAAAGAGGUCAUAUGCAUCCUUCCACUUGUGACCAUUUAAAAAAGAUGUGAGGGAACGAUUCAUGAACAAGUAAAAUUGGACAUGGGUAGCAAAUAGUGACCCUCGGUGAGUGACAACUGAGGUUAUGUGGAUGAAUACUAAACAUGAAAAGCCUGAAUUAUUCAUGGGAGGUUCAAGGUAAAAGGGU
Long non-coding RNA from Gallus gallus (chicken), 7719 nucleotides. NCBI's taxonomy places the organism in Eukaryota, Metazoa, Chordata, Aves, Galliformes, Phasianidae. The record is from Ensembl.